ACUGAGUUUAUAAAAAAAUAAACAAAAAUAUAGAAAAUGAGGGAGAAAGUGAGAGGGGACGGUUCAGAUUAAGGGAUGGGAAUGGACGGUUGGGAUGAGUUAUCAGGCUGGGUAUAAAUAGGAUGAGAAAAUGAAGGAAAAAAGGAAAAAAAAAGAGAGAAGAGAGGAAAAGAAGUACUCGAUCGAGAAAUAGAGAGUGAGCUAGAGAAAUAGGAGACAAUUAAGGUGAUCGAGUGAGUUGUUGCUAUGUUGAGGAUGAUGGACGCAAGAGGUACUGUAAAUUUAAAUCUUAAACACUGAAAAUGGCAAUUUGUAGUUAAAUCCUACAUUAUGAUGAGUUCUGUGCAAUGAACCCUGUAAGCGGGAGAGAGACAGAGACAGAUAGAGACAGAGAGCGGGCCAACAGAGAGGAUCGGGAGCUGUGAAAUCUUAGAAGAGUCGGUAAUGAAUCAAGUUGAGAGGAGGAAG
Molecule: long non-coding RNA, 468 nt
Filed under: Carica papaya (papaya)
Lineage: Eukaryota; Viridiplantae; Streptophyta; Magnoliopsida; Brassicales; Caricaceae
Description: long non-coding RNA (CPAP_LNC006563)
Source: RNAcentral